UAGUGAGGUUCUUGCUUAAUUGCUGUGGCUAGCCUAGAACUUGCACUCCUCCUGUCUCAGCCUCCCAUAUCACUGGGAUUAAAAGCAUGUGCCACCACAUCUGGCCAGAUAAAAUUAAAAAAAAAAAAAACUUUUUAAAUUUUUUAAUCUGUGGUUUGUUAGAUUCACACGCGCGGAACCAGUGGUUAAGGACAGCUGAUUUCCCAGAGCUGGGGUUUCCAGUCUGGUUCUGUUUACUCCAAAGCCUGCCUCCUUAAACAUGACCUUCUCAGCUUAGUUCAGUCCAAUUUGUCUUGACUACUGCUCAUUAGGCCUGAUGGUGGUUUUCUUGAACACCAGACCAUUGCAACCCUAACUCAGCAUUGUUUCUUAACAUGUUCCAUUCUGUACACCUGUAUUAAUUUCCUAUAACAAAUGUCCAUGAACUAGGUGACUUUAAAAAACAGAAAUUUAUCUCCUCCCAAUUCUGGAGGUCACAAGUCCAAAAUCAGUAGGGCCAUGAUUCCUCCAGAAUUGCAAGGGGAGGAUUUUUCCUUGCCUCUUCUAACUUCCUAUGGCUCCUAGUGUCUUUAAAUUGUGGCAAUCUCUGUCUCUUGUCUUCAUAUGAUCUUUAAAAAAAAAUUUUUUUAGUUGUUGAUAGACCUUUAUUUUGUUUGUUUAUAUGCAGUGCUGAGAAUCAAACUCAGUGCCUCACACAUACCAGGCAAGUGCGCUACUGCUGAGCCUCAGCCCCAGCCCCAUUCAUGUAGCCUUUUUAUCCCUUGUCUCUUGGUGUCUAAUCUAGCAUGAUUUGGUGUUAAUUUAAUUAGCUACACCAAUGAAGUCCCUAAAUAAGGUCACAUUCACAGGCUCCAUGUAAAUGUGAAGUUUUGGGGAACACUAUAAAAUGUUCAACCCAGUGCAACCACCAGGGACAAAGUCCACCUGUGUUAAUGACAAUCAUUAGCUUGUCUUCUCUGGAGCUGAGCUCUGUGCUUGCCUCUGUGUCCCCAGUGCUCAGGGAGAAGAUGUUGACCUGGUCAACAUCUGUAGAACUGAAUUGUCUCUGAAAAGCUCCAACAUGCAUUUUGGAAAACCAAAAUUUUAUUUUCACUCACAUUAUGGCAAAGAAAUGCCAUUAUUGUGUUUUUUCUGGUGCCAGAGACGGAGCCCAUGGCCUUGUACAUGCUAGACAAGUGCGCUACCACUGAGCUGCAUCCCCUGCAAAUGACACAAAAUUUUUAAGUGAUUUCUUAUGUUCACUAUUGUGGCACGUCUCUCUUAUUCAUUGGUGGCUUUCCCCCCUUAUUUAGCAAAGAAAAUGACCAAGUACGUGACAGAAAGUGGCACUCAGUAAAUUUUUAUUGAGUGAAUACAACUAGAUUUUAGGAGUCAUUCAAUCAAGUGCACUUCCACACAGAAGCAGAGGUUGUGGGGGGAGAGAGACAGGAAAGAGGACCCUGGAUAUCCCUGAAAGUUGUCCUCUGUGCUUAGGGGAAGAAACAGAACCAGACAAGGGGACAAGUCUUGCCCAAAGAGACCAGCACAGUGCCCAAUGCAAGAACCCCAGGUUUUUGGUCAUGCCCUUCUGCCCGCUCCCCAACAAUGCCGCUCACCUAUCCCGGUGGGUUGGCAUUUUGGUUAUGUGGGUAAGGACAAAUGAAGGUCACAGUAUCCCAUUUUUUCUCCCCCAAGACAAGUUCUGUAUGUUAAAGGCCACAGGAAGGUGGGGGCUGUGGCUCAAGUGGUAGAGUGCUCGCCUGGCAUGUGUGAGGCACUGGGUUCGAUUCUCAGUGCUGCAUAAAAAUAAAAUAAAGAUAUUGUGUCCACCUAAAACUAAAAAAUAAAUAUUAAAAAAAAAAGGCCACAGGAUGCUCUGAUCACUAGAUGUAUGGGGGUGGUUUUGUUUUUUUUUUUUUAAGGUAACUGUGCUUACUCUUGUGACACAAUUUC
RNAcentral lists this long non-coding RNA (1932 nucleotides) under Marmota monax (woodchuck). Lineage: Eukaryota; Metazoa; Chordata; Mammalia; Rodentia; Sciuridae. The record is from RNAcentral.